UGGGGAAUAUUGCACAAUGGGGGAAACCCUGCGGCAGCGACGCCGCGUGAGCGAAGAAGGUUUUCGAAUCGUAAAGCUCUGUCCUAUGGGAAGAUAAUGACGGUACCAUAGGAGGAAGCCCCGGCUAACUACGUGCCAGCAGCCGCGGUAAUACGUAGGGGGCAAGCGUUGUCCGGAAUCACUGGGCGUAAAGGGUUCGCAGGCGGAAAUGCAAGUCAGUUGUGAAAGGCAGAGGCUCAACCUCUGUAAGCAAUUGAAACUGUAUUUCUUGAGAUGUGGAGAGGCAAGUGGAAUUCCUAGUGUAGCGGUGAAAUGCGUAGAUAUUAGGAAGAAGACCGGUGGCGAAGGCGACUUGCUGGACACAAACUGACGCUGAGGAACGAAAGCGUGGGUAGCAAACAGG
RNAcentral lists this ribosomal RNA (403 nucleotides) under Fusobacteriota bacterium. RNAcentral's name for it is "Fusobacteria bacterium partial 16S ribosomal RNA". It matches the Rfam family "Bacterial small subunit ribosomal RNA", at positions 355 to 776 of the family's 1533-position model. Lineage: Bacteria; Fusobacteriati; Fusobacteriota. The record is from RNAcentral.